GGGCCCAUGGUCUAGUGGUCAUGACGAUUCCCUUACACGGAAUAGGUCGCCGGUUCAAAUCCGGCUGGGCCCA
This 73-nucleotide transfer RNA is filed under the name Candidatus Nanoarchaeia archaeon. RNAcentral describes it as "tRNA-Val". It matches the Rfam family "tRNA". Rfam says of the family: Transfer RNA (tRNA) molecules are approximately 80 nucleotides in length. Their secondary structure includes four short double-helical elements and three loops (D, anti-codon, and T loops). RNAcentral also lists the same sequence under 1 other name. The record is from RNAcentral. Lineage: Archaea; Nanobdellati; Nanobdellota; Candidatus Nanoarchaeia.